AGAGAAAAAGUAUGGAUUUUAAUUAAUUGAAAGGUUUGUGGGAUGGGUUAUAUAUGUGAAGUCUUGAACACAAGACAGAAUACAGAGAGAGACAAUAGAAAGAGAUAAGAAAAAAAAUACACACACAGAUAGAGAGAAAAAACGGACAGAGAAUAGAAGAGAGAAAAAUUCCGAAAAAUAUUUAAGCUUUCAAAAAUAAAAAUAAAAGCUAAAAAAUCUACUGCUUUCUUUCUUUGUUUGAAAUUAGUAUUAAUGGUUGUUGUUUCAUUUAAAGCUUAAAGCUUUUGUUUUUGGGAUUACUACUCCACCGGUCUGUUACUGGGUUGUUACUGUUGCUGGGCAGUUGUUGCUGUUGUACUGUUAUU
This 365-nucleotide long non-coding RNA is filed under the name Nicotiana tabacum (common tobacco). RNAcentral's name for it is "long non-coding RNA (NTAB_LNC000273)". Lineage: Eukaryota; Viridiplantae; Streptophyta; Magnoliopsida; Solanales; Solanaceae. The record is from RNAcentral.